UCCGUGUUAACCACGGCAGUCUCCUUAGAGAGCCCAACUUAAUGCUGGCAACUAAGGACAAGGGUUGCGCUCGUUGCGGGACUUAACCCAACAUGUCACCACACGAGCUGACGACAGCCAUGCAGCACCUGUCUCCCAGUGGUAUUGCUACCAAAGCUGUAUCUCUACAGCGGUCCGGGGAUGUCAAACCCAGGUAAGGUUCUUCGCGUUGCUUCGAAUUAAACCACAUGAUCCACCGCUUGUGCGGGCCCCCGUCAAUUCCUUUGAGUUUUAGUCUUGCGACCGUACUUCCCAGGCGGUCAACUUCACGCGUUAGCUUCGUUACCAAGGAAUUGCUUCCCCGACAACCAGUUGACAUAGUUUAGGGCGUGGACUAC
RNAcentral lists this unclassified non-coding RNA (377 nucleotides) under uncultured Pseudomonadota bacterium. RNAcentral's name for it is "uncultured proteobacterium contains 16S-23S intergenic spacer region". The record is from RNAcentral. Lineage: Bacteria; Pseudomonadati; Pseudomonadota.